AACGAACGCUGGCGGCAUGCCUAACACAUGCAAGUCGUACGAGACCUUCGGCUCUAGUGGCGCACGGGUGCGUAACGCGUGGGAACCUGCUCAUGGACUUGGAAUAAAUCCACGAAAGGGGUGCUAAUACCGCAUAAUACCUUCGGACCAAAGAGUUAUCGCCUUUGGGUGGGCCCGCGUUGGAUUAGCUGGGUGGUAGGGUAAAAGCCUACCAAGGCGACGAUCCAUAGCUGGCCGGAGAGGAUGAUCAGCCAGACUGGGACUGAGACACGGCCCAGACUCCUACGGGAGGCAGCAGUGGGGAAUGUUGGACAGUGGGCGAAAGCCUGAUCCAGCAAUGCCGCGUGGAUGAUGAAGGCCUUAGGGUUGUAAAGCUCUAUUACCCGGGAUGAUAGUGACAGUACCGGGAGAAUAAGCUCCGGCUAACUCCGUG
RNAcentral lists this ribosomal RNA (433 nucleotides) under uncultured bacterium. RNAcentral describes it as "partial 16S ribosomal RNA". It matches the Rfam family "Bacterial small subunit ribosomal RNA", at positions 29 to 507 of the family's 1533-position model. The record is from RNAcentral.